RNAcentral lists this ribosomal RNA (440 nucleotides) under uncultured bacterium. RNAcentral describes it as "partial 16S ribosomal RNA". It matches the Rfam family "Bacterial small subunit ribosomal RNA", at positions 338 to 795 of the family's 1533-position model. The record is from RNAcentral.
CCUACGGGAGGCAGCAGGAGGGAAUAUUGCUCAAUGGGGGAAACCCGGAAGCAGCAACGCCGCGGGGAGGAUGAAGGUUUUCGGAUUGUAAACUCCUUUUGUUAGAGAAGAGAAUGACGGUACCUAACGAAUAAGCACCGGCCAACUCCGUGCCAGCAGCCGCGGUAAUACGGAGGGUGCAAGCGUGACUCGGAAUCACUGGGCGUUAAGAGCGCGUAGGCGGGAUAGCAAGUCAGAUGUGAAAUCCUAUGGCUUAACCAUAGAACUGCAUUUGAAACUGUUAUUCUAGAGUAUGGGAGAGGUAGGUGGAAUUCUUGGUGUAGAGGUGAAAUCCGUAGAGAUCAAGAGGAAUACUCAUUGCGAAGGCGGCCUGCUAGAACAUAACUGACGCUGAUGCGCGAAAGCGUGGGGAGCAAACAGGAUUAGAUACCCGGGUAGUC